Molecule: transfer RNA, 76 nt
Filed under: Patescibacteria group bacterium
Lineage: Bacteria
Description: tRNA-Tyr
Rfam family: tRNA
About the family: Transfer RNA (tRNA) molecules are approximately 80 nucleotides in length. Their secondary structure includes four short double-helical elements and three loops (D, anti-codon, and T loops).
Source: RNAcentral
CCAGGGGUGGCAGAGCGGUUGAUGCGGCGGUCUGUAAAACCGUUUCAGGCAGGUUCGACUCCUGCCCCCUGGACCA